RNAcentral lists this ribosomal RNA (300 nucleotides) under uncultured Pseudomonas sp. RNAcentral's name for it is "bacterial SSU rRNA". It matches the Rfam family "Bacterial small subunit ribosomal RNA", at positions 496 to 795 of the family's 1533-position model. The record is from RNAcentral. Lineage: Bacteria; Pseudomonadati; Pseudomonadota; Gammaproteobacteria; Pseudomonadales; Pseudomonadaceae.
GCUAACUUCGUGCCAGCAGCCGCGGUAAUACGAAGGGUGCAAGCGUUAAUCGGAAUUACUGGGCGUAAAGCGCGCGUAGGUGGUUUGUCAAGUUGGAAGUGAAAGCCCCGGGCUCAACCUGGGAACUGCUUUCAAAACUGGCAAGCUAGAGUAUGGCAGAGGGUGGUGGAAUUUCCUGUGUAGCGGUGAAAUGCGUAGAUAUAGGAAGGAACAUCAGUGGCGAAGGCGACCACCUGGGCCAAUACUGACACUGAGGUGCGAAAGCGUGGGGAGCAAACAGGAUUAGAUACCCCGGUAGUC